GUGGGGAAUCUUAGACAAUGGGGGAAACCCUGAUCUAGCCAUGCCGCGUGAGCGAUGAAGGCCUUAGGGUUGUAAAGCUCUUUCAGCUGGGAAGAUAAUGACGGUACCAGCAGAAGAAGCCCCGGCUAACUCCGUGCCAGCAGCCGCGGUAAUACGGAGGGGGCUAGCGUUGUUCGGAAUUACUGGGCGUAAAGCGCACGUAGGCGGAUUGGAAAGUUGGGGGUGAAAUCCCGGGGCUCAACCCCGGAACUGCCUUCAAAACUCCCAGUCUUGAGUUCGAGAGAGGUGAGUGGAAUUCCGAGUGUAGAGGUGAAAUUCGUAGAUAUUCGGAGGAACACCAGUGGCGAAGGCGGCUCACUGGCUCGAUACUGACGCUGAGGUGCGAAAGCGUGGGGAGCAAACAGGAUUAGAAACCCUAGUAGUCC
This 425-nucleotide ribosomal RNA is filed under the name uncultured bacterium. RNAcentral's name for it is "partial 16S ribosomal RNA". It matches the Rfam family "Bacterial small subunit ribosomal RNA", at positions 354 to 796 of the family's 1533-position model. The record is from RNAcentral.